AAAAAUAAUAAUAUAAAAGAUCAAUGAAACCAAGAGCAGGUUCUUUGAAAGGAUAAGCAAGAUUGAUGAACCUCUAGCCAGGCUCACCAAGAAAUAAAGAGAGAGGACCCAAGUAAACAAAAUCAGAAAUGAAAGAGGUGAAGUAACAACAGACCACACA
Pipistrellus kuhlii (Kuhl's pipistrelle) is the source of this 160-nucleotide long non-coding RNA. RefSeq lists it as uncharacterized. The record is from RefSeq and is a predicted model, not a curated record. The transcript has 2 exons. NCBI's taxonomy places the organism in Eukaryota, Metazoa, Chordata, Mammalia, Chiroptera, Vespertilionidae.